Molecule: ribosomal RNA, 737 nt
Filed under: uncultured bacterium
Lineage: Bacteria
Description: bacterial SSU rRNA
Rfam family: Bacterial small subunit ribosomal RNA
Source: RNAcentral
UGCAGUCGACGCUUCUUUUUCCACCGGAGCUUGCUCCACCGGAAAAAGAGGAGUGGCGAACGGGUGAGUAACACGUGGGUAACCUGCCCAUCAGAAGGGGAUAACACUUGGAAACAGGUGCUAAUACCGUAUAACAAUCAAAACCGCAUGGUUUUGAUUUGAAAGGCGCUUUCGGGUGUCGCUGAUGGAUGGACCCGCGGUGCAUUAGCUAGUUGGUGAGGUAACGGCUCACCAAGGCCACGAUGCAUAGCCGACCUGAGAGGGUGAUCGGCCACAUUGGGACUGAGACACGGCCCAAACUCCUACGGGAGGCAGCAGUAGGGAAUCUUCGGCAAUGGACGAAAGUCUGACCGAGCAACGCCGCGUGAGUGAAGAAGGUUUUCGGAUCGUAAAACUCUGUUGUUAGAGAAGAACAAGGAUGAGAGUAACUGUUCAUCCCUUGACGGUAUCUAACCAGAAAGCCACGGCUAACUACGUGCCAGCAGCCGCGGUAAUACAUAGGUGGCAAGCGUUGUCCGGAUUUAUUGGGCGUAAAGCGAGCGCAGGCGGUUUCUUAAGUCUGAUGUGAAAGCCCCCGGCUCAACCGGGGAGGGUCAUUGGAAACUGGGAGACUUGAGUGCAGAAGAGGAGAGUGGAAUUCCAUGUGUAGCGGUGAAAUGCGUAGAUAUAUGGAGGAAUACCAGUGGCGAAGGCGGCUCUCUGGUCUGUACUGACGCUGAGCUCGAAGCGUGGGAGCA